GAUGAACGCUGGCGGCGUGCCUAAUACAUGCAAGUCGAGCGAACAGAUGAGGAGCUUGCUCCUCUGACGUUAGCGGCGGACGGGUGAGUAACACGUGGAUAACCUACCUAUAAGACUGGGAUAACUUCGGGAAACCGGAGCUAAUACCGGAUAAUAUAUUGAACCGCAUGGUUCAAUAGUGAAAGACGGUUUUGCUGUCACUUAUAGAUGGAUCCGCGCCGCAUUAGCUAGUUGGUAAGGUAACGGCUUACCAAGGCAACGAUGCGUAGCCGACCUGAGAGGGUGAUCGGCCACACUGGAACUGAGACACGGUCCAGACUCCUACGGGAGGCGGCAGUAGGGAAUCUUCCGCAAUGGGCGAAAGCCUGACGGAGCAACGCCGCGUGAGUGAUGAAGGUCUUCGGAUCGUAAAACUCUGUUAUUAGGGAAGAAAAAAUGUGUAAGUAACUAUGCACGUCUUGACGGUACCUAAUCAGAAAGCCACGGCUAACUACGUG
This 497-nucleotide ribosomal RNA is filed under the name uncultured bacterium. RNAcentral's name for it is "partial 16S ribosomal RNA". It matches the Rfam family "Bacterial small subunit ribosomal RNA", at positions 28 to 507 of the family's 1533-position model. The record is from RNAcentral.